UACGUAGGUGGCAAGCGUUAUCCGGAUUUACUGGGUGUAAAGGGCGUGUAGGCGGGUCUGCAAGUCAGAUGUGAAAUCUCCGGGCUUAACUCGGAAGUGUCAUCUGAAACUACGGAUCUUGAGUACUGGAGAGGAAAGCGGAAUUCCUAGUGUAGCGGUGAAAUGCGUAGAUAUUAGGAGGAACACCAGUGGCGAAGGCGGCUUUCUGGACAGUAACUGACGCUGAGGCGCGAAAGCGUGGGGAGCAAACAGGAUUAGAUACCCGGGUAGU
RNAcentral lists this ribosomal RNA (271 nucleotides) under uncultured prokaryote. RNAcentral describes it as "partial 16S ribosomal RNA". It matches the Rfam family "Bacterial small subunit ribosomal RNA", at positions 524 to 794 of the family's 1533-position model. The record is from RNAcentral.